CCUACGGGUGGCAGCAGUGAGGAAUAUUGGUCAAUGGGCGGGAGCCUGAACCAGCCAAGCCGCGUGAGGGAAGAAGGUACAGCGUAUCGUAAACCUCUUUUGUCAGGGAACAAAGUCGGGGACUCGUCCCCGGCUGAGUGUACCUUAAGAACAAGCAUCGGCUAACUCCGUGCCAGCAGCCGCGGUACUACGGAGGAUGCGAGCGUUAUCCGGAUUUAUUGGGGUAGAAGGGUGCGCAGGCGGCCUGUUAAGUCAGCGGUAAAAGCCCGGGGCUCAACCCCGGCGAGCCGUUGAAACUGGCGGGCUGGAGUUGGAGAGAAGUACGAGGAAUGCGCGGUGUAGCGGUGAAAUGCGUAGAUAUCGCGCAGAACCCCGAUUGCGAAGGCAGCGUACUGGCUCCAAACUGACGCUGAGGCACGAAAGCGUGGGUAUCGAACAGGAUUAGAUACCCGGGUAGUC
RNAcentral lists this ribosomal RNA (459 nucleotides) under uncultured bacterium. RNAcentral's name for it is "partial 16S ribosomal RNA". It matches the Rfam family "Bacterial small subunit ribosomal RNA", at positions 338 to 795 of the family's 1533-position model. The record is from RNAcentral.